This 115-nucleotide small nuclear RNA is filed under the name Danio rerio (zebrafish). Its description in RNAcentral is "U1 spliceosomal RNA". It matches the Rfam family "U1 spliceosomal RNA", at positions 1 to 120 of the family's 166-position model. From Rfam's summary of the family: U1 is a small nuclear RNA (snRNA) component of the spliceosome (involved in pre-mRNA splicing). Lineage: Eukaryota; Metazoa; Chordata; Actinopteri; Cypriniformes; Danionidae. The record is from Rfam by way of RNAcentral.
AUACUUACCUGGCAGGGGAGAUACCAUGAUCAAGAAGGUGGUUCACCCAGGGCGAGGCUUGGCCAUUGCACUCCGGCCACGCUGACUCCUGCGAAUGGCGUUCGACCUGUACGGC